Molecule: long non-coding RNA, 672 nt
Organism: Rhea pennata
Lineage: Eukaryota; Metazoa; Chordata; Aves; Rheiformes; Rheidae
Exons: 2
Source: RefSeq, a predicted model, not a curated record
AACAGCAAUACUAAACACUCUGGUUAGAGUAAUGCCAGUGCCUCAGAGGAAAAUGAGUUAAGUUCUCCCAGCCAUUUCUGGCCACUAAUGUACCCAAGCCAAUGGAAGGCUAUUUCAGAGCAGAAGUUAAGCAUUUCAUCCUAAAAUCACGCACAGUCUUUCCCCUAAAAAAAGUUUGUUACCUAGUCAGCAUCCUAUUCAGGGACCUGGGAUGAGGCAAGCUCCACCAGGAAGCACUACUGACAUAAGAUAUCUCAUUUCUAGCUCUGUUACUCCAGUAUUUCCUUUAAGCCAGAGCAAGGCUUUUCCAAGCAAUUUUUUCUGCUUGGCUGGUUCACUGCAGCCUUGUCUUCCCAGCAGAGCACCAGGCACCUGGGCACCUGCAUUCCCUGGGGCCAAGCUGCUGCGCCUGGAGGAGGCUGGUAGAGAGCUGGGCCACCCUGGCACUGGCCCCCCCCCCCACCACCACCACUGAAGGUGGCUGAGGUUGGAAGGCACCUCUGGAGAUCACCUAGUUAAAUCCCAUCUCAAGCAGGGUCACCCAGAACGCAUUAGACAGGAUUGCGUCCAGCCAGCUUUUGACUAUCUCCAAGGAAGGAGACUCCACAGCCUCUCUGGGUAACCUGUUCCAGUGCUCUGUCAUCCUAUAAAUAAAGAAGUUUUUCCUUUUCA